Biomphalaria glabrata is the source of this 3542-nucleotide RNA transcript. RefSeq lists it as uncharacterized. The record is from RefSeq and is a predicted model, not a curated record. Lineage: Eukaryota; Metazoa; Mollusca; Gastropoda; Planorbidae. The transcript is spliced from 3 exons.
AUAAAACUUCAGUAACUAAGUACAUAGAUCUAGACCUAGAUCUAGAUCUAAAACCUUUUUAAAAAUGAUAAAUCUCAAAUGAUUAUGUCAUAUCUUUCUUAUAGACUUAAGUCAGACUCAGACUAACUUUAUAGUAUACUAGAGUUAUUAGAGUCUAUAGUAACUAGAUCUAUCCAUUAUCUAGAUGAAUCAAGUCUUGCUCUUAGUCUUAAUCACACUUAAUUGACUUAAUGCACAUUUAGAUCUAGAAUCUAAUUAAAAUAUUGAUAUCACAAUUUAAUAAUUUAGGGGCCUAAAUCAGAAACUGCAUGGAAAGCUACUUAAUACGUAACCCAUGUAAUUAUUUGUAAUAUAAAAACAAAACGAGAAGAGCUUGCAAAAAAAUAUGGGCCAAUGCUCUAACUCUAGAUCUAGCAUUUUGUUAUAAAGUGUUUGUCAUUCAAAAAUGAAUUUCAGGCAAAUACCAUAAUAUCUUAAGAUUUUAACAAACCUUAAGUAAGAAGCAUGUGUAAAUAUGACAUAUAAGAGUGAUAUAUAAUAUUUGAUUCUGUUUUACAAAUAGAAUUAAAUGCAAUGCAAUGACAAACGUCCAUUGUUAAUGCUUGUGUAGCCUACUGUUAUAAAGUUUCACUUUCAGACCUUGCCAUCUAUAGGGCAGAUGAUGCAAAGUUCAUCUGUUUUUUUUGUGGCCUACAUUUGGCAAGGGUGUAAUGUGGCAAGCACAAGGAGCAACCGCCUUUACUUUUCCUAACUAAUGUCAGGUACCCAUUAGAGCUAGGUGUACUCGGAGGCGCCCAAAGUCGCCAAAGAUCCCAAAAUUAAAAAUCACUGUCUUCACCAGUAUUUGAACCCAGGACCCCAGUUCGGAAUGUACUGUUAUAAACACUAUCAUUUUUUGUAAAUUAAAAAAAAAAAAAAUCGUCUUGGAAAAAUAUGUAUCAUUUAAAAUUCAAAAACUACUUAAAUAAAAAAAUGUGUCAUAAGUUUAACCAUGGAACUAUCCAUGGUUUAACUUGUUUACACUAGAGCGAGUACAGCUGGCUGAGUGAGAAAUGUAAAAAUUUAGUUGUUAACCUGUUGGAUCAAUGCAGAACCAACAAAGAGGUGAUUGGAGCUUUACAUGGUGGCACCAAUACUAGAAACUUGUCUCAGAAAAAAAAAAAUUAGUACUUUUUUUUUUUUAUUGUAUUGUAAUCUAUAAAAUAUUUAGUAAACUUAAUUUUUUUGUAGUUUUUUUUUUUUUUUUUGUCAUAACAAGAUGUUUGUAAACUAUUUCAUAUGAAUUGGUUGACAGGUUAAAUUAGGAAACAGAUGGUAAAAAUGCUUUAUUUAUUUGAAAAUUUAGUAUGAGUAACAUUAUUUAUGUGACAUAUGCUACAAAUGCUUGUAGUUUUUUUUUAUUUCAUAGUUUCAGUUUAACAACCAGCUACAAAUAAUUGCAUUUAUUUAGCAGCUCAUUGCCAAUGCAAACUGCCAAGAACAUCUAGCCAGCAUGUGGUAUGUUGGUGCCAGCAUGUGGUAUGUUGGUGCCAGCAUGUGGUAUGUUGGUGCCAGCAUGUGGUAUGUUGGUGCCAGCAUGUGGUAUGUUGGUGCCAGCAUGUGGUAUGUUGUUGCCAGCAUGUGGUAUGUUGGUGCCAGCAUGUGGUAUGUUGGUGCCAGCAUGUGGUAUUUUGGUGCCAGCAUGUGGUAUGUUGGUGCCAGCAUGUGGUAUGCUCAUUGCCAAUGCAAACUGCCAAGAACAUCUAGCCAGAAUGUGGUAUGCUGUUGCCAGCAUGUGGUAUGCUGUUGCCAGCAUGUGGUAUGUUGGUGCCAGCAUGUGGUAUGUUGGUGCCAGAAUGUGGUAUGCUGGUGCCUCUUGGUUUCAACAUCGAAACCUUCCUAUUAAACGUGUUCUGGUGCCUACAGGAAUAUUGCCAACUCAUUGAUGCUUAAAUGAGUCCACACUUACUCCACAAAUUUUAUCUAAAGCUUUGUUUUCUGUUGCCAGUGUUUUGCAAGAAUAGCUUACAACCUUCCAGCGAGUGAGACAUUUGGGCAGUCACAGAUUUCUCAUGGGCGGAUGUUACAGAAUGUCCAAAAGAUUAGUCAGCUAAGGAGCCUAAAAUGUUGGCCUGUUUACAAAUUCUUUGACUACACAAGUACCUGACAGAAGAAGGCUACUCACUUGUGUUUGGAUAUGUCAGCCGUUUUGGUAAUAAAUCAAGUGUUGUUUUUUCUACUCUCUCUAAUGUUUGUAGGUUCUAAAGUUAGAAAGUGUUGUUGUUUUUUAAUGCCACAUUGCCUGUCAAUUCUGUUUAGUUUUUAUUUAUUCUUUUUUUAUACAGUCCAUAUGGCCCCUUUCAAACACAACAGAUAUUAUUCUAAGCAACUUUUUUCUCUGGGAAUUAUUCAACCAUAGAAGCUGUGAGGGAUAUCUGAAAUCCAUUGCUUACUUGUCUAGAAAGACUUCCAUCCAUUGAGUGAUAAAAGAUUAAGUGUACACAACUUUUAGUAGUCACCUCAUAACACUUAACAUUUUGAUGCUCAAGACAAUACUGUUCAUGAAUGGUUUAGUUUUCUUUAUACUGAGAGUGUCCAAGAAAGAUAAGGUCAAAGGUUAAUUGGAGUUUGUUUUUUUUUAUUGCUGUGAUGCUAUUAAAUUUCCCUUGUGUUUUUGUAUGAGUUUAAAAACAUUACCCAUAUUAUUUGUUUUACAAAUGUAGGACAAACAAGUUAAUAAACUUUGUCUUUGAAUCUGAAAUUGUAAAACUUAUAGAGAAAAAAAAAACAACUUACAGUGUUGUUGUUUUUUUUAAUUUACCAGGUACCUACUAUUCAUUUACUUUGACUGUUGACUUUAAGUUAGAAAUUAAAGAAAGAUUUCUUUGAGCUAUAUUUGUCAAUGACCAUAGGCAUUAAGAGAGUUGACACCUCAUUUUAAUUUUCAACAAGAUGAUGUCUUAAAGAAAUAAAGAGCUUUUGAUGGAAUUCUGUGGUUGAAGUAAGUAAAGUAAAUCACAUGAUUCCAUCAAAAUCAUUGCAAAUUGAAUAUUGUUGGUAGAGUCAAUGUUAUUAAGUUUACAUCAAGUAUUUAAUAGUAUAGUUCUUAGUGCUAUCUCAUUAUUCAUUUUCUAAUGACCAGGCAGUGUUUUAUACCAUGAAUGAAUAUCUGUUUAAGAGGUUUAGGGGAUACAACCCUAUCCAUAAUAUCUUUUACAAUAAAAUAUUCUGAUCAAGUUUAUAUUUUUGGAACAGAAUAUGCUAAUGUUUUGUUUUUUUUAGAAUAACAACUAAUACUUAGUUUUAUCCCUUUGCAUCUUUCUACAGUAGAUGCACUGUCAUACUAAAUAGAAAUUUGAAAAAAAUUAUUAUAACUUCUAAUCAAAUUGUCUCCCUUUUAAAAUCAAAUAUCUAAAUGAAUCAUGCUACUUUGAUUCUACACAAUCUUACAGGACUACCAAUGUACAUUAGUUUUGAACAAAAAGUUGCUAACUUUAAAUAAUUGAUUAACUCAUUUUGAUAUUUAUGUAUACCUUGUAAUAAAAGUGGCAUUCAUUUUACAA